This 454-nucleotide long non-coding RNA is filed under the name Spirodela polyrhiza (greater duckweed). Its description in RNAcentral is "long non-coding RNA (SPOL_LNC002535)". The record is from RNAcentral. Lineage: Eukaryota; Viridiplantae; Streptophyta; Magnoliopsida; Alismatales; Araceae.
UUGCUCCCACUAUAUUGGUGCAUCAUCUUUUAACUUGUGCAUCAUAAAUUUUACGCAUUUUCUUUCUUCAAUUUCUUGAAGUUUACAAGUUAUGGAGCUCUAUGAGCCAACCAAAACACAUCUCAAUAUGUAGAUGUCUCUAAAAGCUAGGGAGGUCAAUCUUCAUUUGAAAGUCUCUAUGUGUCUCCUUAUACAAAGUAAUUCUCUUAUUUUUAGGGACAAAUAAAAAUAAUUUUCCACAUAAAACUUCCUCACAAAAUGGCUAGUUAUCUGGAAAUUGUUGAUCACAAUUAUAAUUAGGGCAUCACUAAUGUAGAUAACUUCAUAUUAAUUGCACCGGAUUUGCACACCAAUCAUCAAAGCUACAAAAUUGAUGAAAUAUUUGUCGCAUGUUUUGACAAUCUCUAUGACACUACCUUUGAACUUAAUAAAAUCAUCUCUCAAUAGAUCCAAG